RNAcentral lists this long non-coding RNA (226 nucleotides) under Nicotiana benthamiana. RNAcentral describes it as "long non-coding RNA (NBEN_LNC016776)". The record is from RNAcentral. Lineage: Eukaryota; Viridiplantae; Streptophyta; Magnoliopsida; Solanales; Solanaceae.
CAUGCAAAAGAUCGAAGAAUUUUAGAGAGAGAAAGUAGAGAGAAGGGAGAGCAUCGGAAGAGUCUCGAAGAGACUCAGAUAUUAUUUCAGAGAAAAUGAACCCUCGGUCCUUACAAACGACCCCUGACCCCUUAUAUCAAAAUAACCCUUUUACAAAUAUAGCCUAGUUAUUACAGAAACAGCGUAAUUACACAAAUAACCUAAUUACAGAAAUAUACUAAUUACA